RNAcentral lists this ribosomal RNA (690 nucleotides) under uncultured Acidobacteriota bacterium. Its description in RNAcentral is "bacterial SSU rRNA". It matches the Rfam family "Bacterial small subunit ribosomal RNA", at positions 15 to 717 of the family's 1533-position model. The record is from RNAcentral. Lineage: Bacteria; Pseudomonadati; Acidobacteriota.
GAUCCUGGCUCAGAAUCAACGCUGGCGGCGUGCCUCAGACAUGCAAGUCGUACGAUUAAAGCUCUCUUCGGAGAGUGUAUAAAGUGGCGCACGGGUGAGUAACACGUAAGUAAUCUACCUCUGGGUGGGGAAUAACAGUCGGAAACGACUGCUAAUACCGCAUAAUGCAGCGGCUCGACAUCGAGACAGUUGUUAAAGCAUUUAUGCGCCUGGAGAGGAGCUUGCGGCAGAUUAGCUAGUUGGUAAGGUAAUGGCUUACCAAGGCUACGAUCUGUAGCCGACCUGAGAGGGUGGUCGGUCACACUGACACUGAAUAACGGGUCAGACUCCUACGGGAGGCAGCAGUCGGGAAUUUUGGGCAAUGGGCGAAAGCCUGACCCAGCAACGCCGCGUGAAGGAUGAAGUAUUUCGGUAUGUAAACUUCGUAAGAAUAGGAAGAAUAAAUGACGGUACUAUUUGUAAGGUCCGGCUAACUACGUGCCAGCAGCCGCGGUAAUACGUAGGGACCAAGCGUUGUUCGGAUUUACUGGGCGUAAAGGGAGCGUAGGCGGCAAUUCAAGUCAGUUGUGAAAUCUCCGAGCUUAACUCGGAACGGUCAACUGAUACUGCUUUGCUAGAGUACAGAAGGGGCAAUCGGAAUUCUUGGUGUAGCGGUGAAAUGCGUAGAUAUCAAGAGGAACACCUGAGGUG